Molecule: long non-coding RNA, 1020 nt
Filed under: Suricata suricatta (meerkat)
Lineage: Eukaryota; Metazoa; Chordata; Mammalia; Carnivora; Herpestidae
Description: lncRNA (ENSSSUG00005023183.1)
Source: RNAcentral
GUAUGCAUGUGUGCAGGUGUGUGCACAACCAUGUGCAUGUAUGACUGCGUGCAUGCACAUGCGCGGCACAGUUUGUAUAUACAUAUAUAGAUGUGUGCAUGCAGAAUGUGUUGUGCACAUGUGCAUAUGUGCAUGCACACAUGUGGGUGGAUGUGCAUGUGGGAGUGUACACACGUGUGGGUGGGUGCCCAUGUGUGUGCAUGCACACGUGUGUGUGGGUGUGCGUGUGUGCACGUGUGUGUCCUUGCAUGCAUGCACAUGCGUGUGGGUGGGCGUGCAUGUGUGUUCGUGUGUGCACACGUGUGGGCGUGUGUGCGUGUGUGCGUGCGCACACGUGUGGGUGGGUGUUCCGUGUGUGUGCACACGUGCGUGUGGUGGGGUGCACACGUGUGCGAGCAGGUGUUAAGUCCAUCCAGUCCAGAGUGGAGUGGGGCUUGGGCUCUGUUGCUGUGUCACCGGCGAGGCACAGCUGGGCAGGUCCCUGUGGCACAGCCUUGCUCCAGGCUGUCUCCUGCUCCUGCUCCAGUUCGGCUCCAGGCCCUCCUCCUGCAGUGGGACAUCAGGGCAUCUCCCCCUGUGCUCUGGCCUCCCCCAGAACCAGGGUGCUGGUGCCGGCCAGCCUGGUACCUGGUGGGGGGCAGCAAUUCUGUUUUCUGUGCCCCGUACUUCCAUUUCUGGGGGCUCCUGUGCUCUGUCCUCCAGCUGCAGAGGCUUUUCCCCUCCGGGCCCGGGGUGCAGCGCUGGCUGUCCUUCCCCCAGAGACGCCGGGCCUUUGUUUCCUGGCAGAAGAGUGGAGGCAGGUGUCCCGCCUGGGCGCACGUGCCCUGCUGAGAUGCGCCUCCCGUCUUUCCCCCGAGUGCCUGCCGGGUCACAGAGAAGGGUGUGAGAGCGGUGCGUGCUCCCCUUCGUGCACAGCGGCCCGGGCUCCGGCUCUCCCGCCAGCCUGUGCCCGGCGUCUCCGUCACCAGUCUCCCGCUGCCUUCUUCACACCCGCAGGGGCUCCGUUUUCCUCCUGCGCCC